This 1125-nucleotide long non-coding RNA is filed under the name Anas platyrhynchos platyrhynchos (common mallard). Its description in RNAcentral is "lncRNA (ENSAPLG00000019455.1)". The record is from RNAcentral. Lineage: Eukaryota; Metazoa; Chordata; Aves; Anseriformes; Anatidae.
CAUUUCUUCAUUCUAUUUUGCCCUGGGUUGGUAGCAGCACUGGUGUGUACCCCGGUUCUGUAGGGACUUUCUUCCUCUGGCACAGUUCCUUAGACCUUCGUGAUUGUUUCUCUCUUAGUGCUUUACCAGAGCUGUAGUGAGCAAAACUUUUCUAUCCAUGCAUGUGAUUGCAUCUGAUGUACAGUGGGAUCUGUGUUAGUGCAGAACAUGGGGUGGUAACACAAUCUUUGUAACAGUAAGUGCACAGGGUUGCCUGCUAAUACCACCUUAUCUUUUAAACUUGUGUUCAGCAUGGGAGGAAAACAGAGGCUGCAAUGGAUUUAAAAUAAAUGUUCCAUUUAUAACUAGUGUUAAAUAAACUGUUGGUUUUUCCUCCAGGCUGCGUGAUAUCUUUAGAAGGGAUUUGUGAGUCACAGUUUUCAUAUUACAGCCAAUGUGCUGGUUACAAACUGAUGCUUUUCAAUCACAUCAUGCUUUUUGUGAAUCCCUUCAAUUAGCAAAUAACUCAUCUUGUUUCUCUCACACAGCAGCAGAGAGCAAAAGCUGUAAACUGGAUUUCUUUCUCUGAUAUGAAAGUGUUUUCUCUGAGGCCCAUUCUAAUGCCCAGGCUGUGCUGAGAAGACUGGAAGAGUGCAGAGAAAUUGAUGCCUCUCAAAGGGAGGCUCUGGUUGCCUGUCUGGCAGAGGCAGGGGAACAGUCGGUGCUCACAAAGCUGUUGGGCAAAGUGAAGGAUGCGCAGCCCCUGGAUGCACAGACCCUUGUGUCCUUACUGAAGCUGUUUCAAGAUGUGAAUCCCACGCUGAGAACAGCCUUGCUGGAGAGGGAACAGGACAGUGGAGAAGCUCUGAAUCAAACAGAGAGCACGAAAGAGGGAGAGAUGCUGACUGCUCGUUUGCUGGGAUGCAGGGAGGAGCUGAUCCAGAGCGUGACACAGCUGAGCCCCAUCAUAGAGUUCCUGGAGGCAGCAGAAGAGGGAUUCCUGACCGCCCUGGAGAAGCGGGUAACAAAUCUGUGAGAAGGAAAGCUUUGUGGGCGAGGGGUGUACGUGUGUGUCUGCAAGGCACUGUCUUUCCAUGUGGUUAUUCACAGGGUGAUUUCCCUUUGCACAGCAUGGACUGCUUGUGA